CCUACGGGAGGCAGCAGUGGGGAAUAUUGCACAAUGGGGGAAACCCAGAUGCAGCGACGCCGCGUGAGUGAAGAAGUAUCUCGGUACGUAAAGCCCUAUCAGCAGGGAAGAAAAUGACGGUACCUGACUAAGAAGCCCCGGCUAACUACGUGCCAGCAGCCGCGGUAAUACGUAGGGGGCAAGCGUGAUCCGGAUUUACUGGGUGUAAAGGGAGCGUAGACGGCAGCACAAGUCUGGAGUGAAAUCCCGGGGCUGAACCCCGGAACUGCUUUGGAUACUGUGCGGCUGGAGUGCAGGAGGGGUAAGCGGAAUUCCUAGUGUAGCGGUGAAAUGCGUAGAUAUUAGGAGGAACACCGGUGGCGAAGGCGGCUUACUGGACUGUAACUGACGUUGAGGCUCGAAAGCGUGGGGAGCAAACAGGAUUAGAUACCCCUGUAGUC
This 440-nucleotide ribosomal RNA is filed under the name uncultured bacterium. RNAcentral describes it as "partial 16S ribosomal RNA". It matches the Rfam family "Bacterial small subunit ribosomal RNA", at positions 338 to 795 of the family's 1533-position model. The record is from RNAcentral.